CACUGAUUUAUUUAAUGGCCGCGGUAUUUUGACCGUGCAAAGGUAGCAUAAUAAUUUGUCUUUUAAUUGAAGGCUUGUAUGAAUGGUUGGACGAGAAAAUUACUUUCUUUAUAAUAUAUUUAUUAAUUUUAUUUUUUAGUUAAAAAGCUAAAAUUUUGUUGUAGGACGAGAAGACCCUGUAGAACUUUAUAUUUAUUUUUGUAUUAAUAUUUUUGGUUUAUUAUAUAUUAUAUUUUUAUAAUUAUUUUGUUGGGGCGACAAGAAAAUUUAUUUAACUUUUUUUUAUUAAUUUCAUUAAUUAAUGUAUAAAUGAUCCUUUAAUAUGGAUAAUUAGAAUAAGUUACCUUAGGGAUAACAGCGUAAUUUUUUUGGAGAGUUCUUAUCGAUAAAAAAGUUU
Molecule: ribosomal RNA, 397 nt
Filed under: Sigara sp.
Lineage: Eukaryota; Metazoa; Arthropoda; Insecta; Hemiptera; Corixidae
Description: partial large subunit ribosomal RNA
Source: RNAcentral